UUCGGUAUCCUGUGUUGCUUACCUAUCGAAAGGAAUCUGACGGUCUCACUCGUCCCUUUUCGCCCCCAGCCCUCGCGGGUUGCGGGGUGGACAUCAGGCACGCCCCGUGUUCUGGGCAAGCCGCUCGACUGCCUCGGCCCACGGUGUGCUCUACUCGUUCUCUCGGAUGCAGAACGUUACGCGUGGGCGUGGGGUCUUCCAGCUCCGUUUGCCUAAGCAACGCAUCUGUCCCUCGACGCGAACGACUGUCAUGCCCAUCUUGAGCCCGCGGCCUCACGGCCCGUCAGGUGUCAUGCGGGCAUCGGCAUCGUGAAGGAAUGUUACCUGGUUGAUCCUGCCAGUAGUCAUAUGCUUGUCUC
Molecule: unclassified non-coding RNA, 359 nt
Filed under: Commiphora dinteri
Lineage: Eukaryota; Viridiplantae; Streptophyta; Magnoliopsida; Sapindales; Burseraceae
Description: partial external transcribed spacer
Source: RNAcentral